This 253-nucleotide ribosomal RNA is filed under the name uncultured bacterium. RNAcentral's name for it is "partial 16S ribosomal RNA". It matches the Rfam family "Bacterial small subunit ribosomal RNA", at positions 524 to 776 of the family's 1533-position model. The record is from RNAcentral.
GACGCAGGGCGCGAGCGUUGUCCGGAUUUAUUGGGCGUAAAGAGCUCGUAGGCGGCUUGUUGCGUCGACCGUGAAAACCCGGGGCUCAACUUCGGGCUUGCGGUCGAUACGGGCGGGCUAGAGUUCGGUAGGGGAGACUGGAAUUCCUGGUGUAGCGGUGAAAUGCGCAGAUAUCAGGAGGAACACCGGUGGCGAAGGCGGGUCUCUGGGCCGAUACUGACGCUGAGGAGCGAAAGCGUGGGGAGCGAACAGG